GUUUUCGGAUAAUCGCGCGUCGUUUUAUAAAUUUAUUUGUGAAAGUGCGUGAGGAAAGUCCAGGCUCGUCCAGGCUGCGAUGCGUGGAGUGAUUGUGUCAGGCGAAUCAAUAAGCCUGAGUAGGGCGUCAACCCUAACGGCGGUGAAAUGAACUAAGUCUUUUUUAGAUAUGACAGAUUAGCCAUAAAGUGCCAUAGAGACGAAUCGACUUGGAAACGAGUCGGCUGGAACGUGGUAAACCCCUCAAGCGAGCAACCCAAACUACGGUCGGGGCAUUUGACUAGCCGAACUGAAGGCGCGGUCAAGCAUGUAUUAUGUAAUAUAUGAGACAGAUGAUUAUCCCGCAUUUGCGGACAAAACUUGGCUUAUAGAA
RNAcentral lists this RNase P RNA (373 nucleotides) under Streptococcaceae bacterium. RNAcentral's name for it is "RNase P RNA component class B". It matches the Rfam family "Bacterial RNase P class B". From Rfam's summary of the family: Ribonuclease P (RNase P) is a ubiquitous endoribonuclease, found in archaea, bacteria and eukarya as well as chloroplasts and mitochondria. Its best characterised activity is the generation of mature 5'-ends of tRNAs by cleaving the 5'-leader elements of precursor-tRNAs. The record is from RNAcentral. Lineage: Bacteria; Bacillati; Bacillota; Bacilli; Lactobacillales; Streptococcaceae.